AUUGAACGCUGGCGGCAUGCCUUACACAUGCAAGUCGAACGGCAGCACGGGGCAACCUGGUGGCGAGUGGCGAACGGGUGAGUAAUACAUCGGAACGUGCCCAGUCGUGGGGGAUAACGUAGCGAAAGUUACGCUAAUACCCGCAUACGAUCUAUGGAUGAAAGCGGGGGAUCGCAAGACCUCGCGCGAUUGGAGCGGCCGAUGUCAGAUUAGGUAGUUGGUGGGGUAAAGGCCUACCAAGCCGACGAUCUGUAGCUGGUCUGAGAGGACGACCAGCCACACUGGGACUGAGACACGGCCCAGACUCCUACGGGAGGCAGCAGUGGGGAAUUUUGGACAAUGGGCGCAAGCCUGAUCCAGCCAUUCCGCGUGCAGGAUGAAGGCCUUCGGGUUGU
Molecule: ribosomal RNA, 395 nt
Filed under: uncultured bacterium
Lineage: Bacteria
Description: bacterial SSU rRNA
Rfam family: Bacterial small subunit ribosomal RNA
Source: RNAcentral